GCUUGUCUCAAAGAUUAAGCCAUGCAUGUCUAAGUAUAAAUAGUGUACAUUGAAACUGCGAAUGGCUCAUUAAAACAGUUAUAGUUUAUUUGAUGAUGGUCUACAUGGAUAACCGUAGUAAUUCUAGAGCUAAUACAUGCUGUAAGCCUGACUUUAUGGGAAGGUUGUAUUUAUUAGAUCCCAAACCGAUAGCUUCGGCUAUUGUGACGAAUCAUAAUAACUUGUCGGAUCGGGUAUUACUCGAUGGAUCAUUCAAGUUUCUGCCCUAUCAGCUUUCGAUGGUAGUGUAUUGGACUACCAUGGCGAUAACGGGUAACGGGGAAUUAGGGUUCGAUUCCGGAGAGGGAGCCUGAGAAACGGCUACCACUUCUAAGGAAGGCAGCAGG
RNAcentral lists this ribosomal RNA (386 nucleotides) under uncultured Didiniidae. Its description in RNAcentral is "partial small subunit ribosomal RNA". It matches the Rfam family "Eukaryotic small subunit ribosomal RNA", at positions 30 to 432 of the family's 1831-position model. Lineage: Eukaryota; Ciliophora; Litostomatea; Haptorida; Didiniidae. The record is from RNAcentral.